UGGGGAAUAUUGGACAAUGGGGGAAACCCUGAUCCAGCAAUGCCGCGUGUGUGAAGAAGGCCUGAGGGUUGUAAAGCACUUUGAUGGGGGAAGAAGGCUUUCCGGUUAAUACCUGGGAGGAUUGACACUACCCCAAGAACAAGCACCGGCUAACUCUGUGCCAGCAGCCGCGGUAAUACAGAGGGUGCAAGCGUUAAUCGGAAUAACUGGGCGUAAAGGGUGCGUAGGUGGUUACUUAAGUUGGAUGUGAAAUCCCCGGGCUUAACCUGGGAACUGCAUUCAAUACUGGGUAGCUUGAGUAGAAUAGAGGGGAGUGGAAUUUCCGGUGUAGCGGUGGAAUGCGUAGAUAUCGGAAGGAACACCAGUGGCGAAGGCGGCUCUCUGGAUUCAUACUGACACUGAGGCACGAAAGCGUGGGGAGCAAACAGG
Molecule: ribosomal RNA, 429 nt
Filed under: uncultured bacterium
Lineage: Bacteria
Description: bacterial SSU rRNA
Rfam family: Bacterial small subunit ribosomal RNA
Source: RNAcentral